Molecule: ribosomal RNA, 465 nt
Filed under: Vreelandella stevensii
Lineage: Bacteria; Pseudomonadati; Pseudomonadota; Gammaproteobacteria; Oceanospirillales; Halomonadaceae
Description: partial 16S ribosomal RNA
Rfam family: Bacterial small subunit ribosomal RNA
Source: RNAcentral
CCUACGGGUGGCUGCAGUGGGGAAUAUUGGACAAUGGGGGGAACCCUGAUCCAGCCAUGCCGCGUGUGUGAAGAAGGCCCUCGGGUUGUAAAGCACUUUCAGUGAGGAAGAACGCCUGGUGGUUAAUACCCAUCAGGAAAGACAUCACUCACAGAAGAAGCACCGGCUAACUCCGUGCCAGCAGCCGCGGUAAUACGGAGGGUGCGAGCGUUAAUCGGAAUUACUGGGCGUAAAGCGCGCGUAGGUGGCUUGAUAAGCCGGUUGUGAAAGCCCCGGGCUCAACCUGUGAACGGCAUCCGGAACUGUCAAGCUAGAGUGCAGGAGAGGAAGGUAGAAUUCCCGGUGUAGCGGUGAAAUGCGUAGAGAUCGGGAGGAAUACCAGUGGCGAAGGCGGCCUUCUGGACUGUCACUGACACUGAGGUGCGAAAGCGUGGGUAGCAAACAGGAUUAGAUACCCUUGUAGUC